RNAcentral lists this unclassified non-coding RNA (345 nucleotides) under soil metagenome. RNAcentral's name for it is "partial contains 5.8S ribosomal RNA, internal transcribed spacer 2, and large subunit ribosomal RNA". The stretch from base 1 to 120 matches the Rfam family "5.8S ribosomal RNA", at positions 35 to 154 of the family's 154-position model. The record is from RNAcentral.
GAUGAAGAACGUAGCGAAAUGCGAUAAGUAGUGUGAAUUGCAGAAUUCAGUGAAUCAUCGAAUCUUUGAACGCACAUUGCGCCCCUUGGUAUUCCAUGGGGCAUGCCUGUCCGAGCGUCAUUGCUGCCCUCAAGCACGGCUUGUGUGUUGGGCCUCCGUCCUCCUCCCGGGGGACGGGCCCGAAAGGCAGCGGCGGCACCGCGUCCGGUCCUCGAGCGUAUGGGGCUUCGUCACCCGCUCUUGUAGGCCCGGCCGGCGCUUGCCGACACAUCAAUCUUUUUUCCAGGUUGACCUCGGAUCAGGUAGGGAUACCCGCUGAACUUAAGCAUAUCAAUAAGCGGAGGA